UACAGAGGUCUCAAGCGUUGUUCGGAUUCAUUGGGCGUAAAGGGUGCGUAGGUGGUGCCGUAAGUCGGGUGUGAAAUUUCGGAGCUUAACUCCGAAACUGCAUUCGAUACUGCCGUGCUUGAGGACUGGAGAGGAGACUGGAAUUUACGGUGUAGCGGUGAAAUGCGUAGAUAUCGUAAGGAAGACCAGUGGCGAAGGCGGGUCUCUGGACAGUUCCUGACGCUGAGGCACGAAGGUCAGGGGAGCAAACGGG
RNAcentral lists this ribosomal RNA (253 nucleotides) under uncultured bacterium. RNAcentral's name for it is "partial 16S ribosomal RNA". It matches the Rfam family "Bacterial small subunit ribosomal RNA", at positions 524 to 776 of the family's 1533-position model. The record is from RNAcentral.